Molecule: non-coding RNA, 239 nt
Filed under: Lactobacillus sp.
Lineage: Bacteria; Bacillati; Bacillota; Bacilli; Lactobacillales; Lactobacillaceae
Description: T-box sequence
Rfam family: T-box leader
About the family: Uncharged tRNA acts as the effector for transcription antitermination of genes in the T-box leader family. T-boxes are found upstream of many aminoacyl-tRNA synthetase genes and some amino acid biosynthetic genes usually in Gram-positive bacteria.
Source: RNAcentral
UUAAGCAUCUUGCAAAGCAGAGUAACUAUCGUAUUGCUAAUAAAGAGAGCUAUCAUUUUGGUGAAAGUUAGCUAGUGGUAGGUAGUGAACAUGGGCUUCUAAUUGAUGUCUACUGGUGAUAAUCAGCCUGUAGCGGAGUUGCAUCCGUUAAUUUUGCAAGCUAUUGUUUGAUAGUUAAUGAGGUUUAUUACGUGAGUAAUAAAUGAACAAAAGGUGGUAACGCGGCACUCGUCCUUAAG